AUCAAGAAAAGAGGCAGAAAAUAAAAAGAAAGAGCCAGAGGAUGUGGAGGGAUGCUGUGAAAUGCUAUCUUCAGGACACGGUGUCACCAGUGUACUCAUGAACUCAUUGCAGCUAUGAUUACCUAUAUAAGAUCAAGUUCAUGUUAUCAGCCAGCAUGCCAGCAGACAGCAGUGAUUGGACUCAACUUUGAGAAAGGCAUGCUGGGAUUUACUUUUUUGAAGAGAAUAAUGAAAGAAAGUUGUGUAUUCUAAACGUGGUUGUAACAAUCGUCCUGUGUUCAGCCAAUGGGAUCUUCAGGCUGUUUGCUCUGCCCAUGAUUAAUGAUCCGACCCUGAAGAAGAGACCUGAGGCUGAAUACUAAACUUGAGUCCUGACUGCUGAGUGAGAACUGAACAGGACAGCUCUCUGAGCUCUCUGGGCUGGUAGAAUAUGAAGAGUGAGGGAAGGAGAAUCAUCUUGCUCUACUACUUUCUUUUCCUGUGAAUCUUGGGAUCUUGAGAAAAAUGGCAAGAUCUCUGAACCACAUGAUCCAU
Molecule: long non-coding RNA, 534 nt
Organism: Peromyscus eremicus (cactus mouse)
Lineage: Eukaryota; Metazoa; Chordata; Mammalia; Rodentia; Cricetidae
Exons: 3
Source: RefSeq, a predicted model, not a curated record